AGAGUUCUUUCCUGGCUCAGGAUGAACGCUGGCGGCGUGCCUAACACAUGCAAGUCGAACGAAGCGCCCGCGCGGAUUCCCUCGGGAUGAAGCGCGGAUGACUGAGUGGCGGACGGGUGAGUCACGCGUGGGCAACCUGCCCCGUGCCGGGGGACAACAGCCGGAAACGGCUGCUAAUACCGCAUGAUCCGGGAGGGCCGCAUGGCCCUGCCGGGAAAGCUCCGGCGGCACGGGAUGGGCCCGCGUCUGAGUAGUUUAUUGGCGGGGUAACGGCCCACCAAGACUGCGAUCAGCAGCCGGCCUGAGAGGGCGGCCGGCCACAUUGGGACUGAGACACGGCCCAGACUCCUGCGGGAGGCAGCAGUGGGGAAUAUUGCACAAUGGGGGAAACCCUGAUGCAGCGACGCCGCGUGGGCGACGAAGCGCUCCGGCGCGUAAAGCCCUGUCAGCAGGGAAGAACAAAGACAGUACCUGACCAAGAAGCCCCGGCUAACUACGUGCCAGCAGCCGCGGUAAUACGUAGGGGGCAAGCGUUAUCCGGAUUCACUGGGCGUAAAGGGAGCGCAGGCGGCACGGCAAGUCUGGUGUGAAAGCCCGGGGCCCAACCCCGGGACUGCAUUGGAAACUGCCGGGCUGGAGUGCCGGAGGGGUAAGCGGAAUUCCUGGUGUAGCGGUGAAAUGCGCAGAUAUCAGGAAGAACACCGGUGGCGUAGGCGGCUUACUGGACGGCAACUGACGCUGAGGCUCGAAAGCGUGGGGAGCAAACAGGAUUAGAUACCCUGGUAGUCCACGCCGUAAACGAUGA
Molecule: ribosomal RNA, 805 nt
Filed under: uncultured bacterium
Lineage: Bacteria
Description: bacterial SSU rRNA
Rfam family: Bacterial small subunit ribosomal RNA
Source: RNAcentral